UACGGGGGGGGCAAGCGUUGUCCGGAAUUAUUGGGCGUAAAGAGCUCGUAGGUGGCUUGUCACGUCGGGUGUGAAAGCUUGGGGCUUAACUCCAGGUCUGCAUUCGAUACGGGCUGGCUAGAGGUAGGUAGGGGAGAACGGAAUUCCUGGUGUAGCGGUGAAAUGCGCAGAUAUCAGGAGGAACACCGGUGGCGAAGGCGGUUCUCUGGGCCUUACCUGACGCUGAGGAGCGAAAGCGUGGGGAGCGAACAGG
This 253-nucleotide ribosomal RNA is filed under the name uncultured bacterium. Its description in RNAcentral is "partial 16S ribosomal RNA". It matches the Rfam family "Bacterial small subunit ribosomal RNA", at positions 524 to 776 of the family's 1533-position model. The record is from RNAcentral.